UGGAAAAUUCCGCUAAAGAGGGUGAAAGCCCCGUAGACGAAAUGCUAACAACACCUAGGAGGAUCCUGAGUACGGCGGAACACGAGAAAUUCCGUCGGAAUCCGCGGGGACCAUCCCGCAAGGCUAAAUACUCCCUAGUGACCGAUAGUGAACCAGUACCGUGAGGGAAAGGUGAAAAGCACCCCGGAAGGGGAGUGAAAUAGAUCCUGAAACCGUGUGCCUACAACAAGUCAAAGCUCGUUAAUGAGUGAUGGCGUGCCUUUUGUAGAAUGAACCGGCGAGUUACGAUUGCAUGCGAGGUUAAGUCGAAGAGACGGAGCCGCAGCGAAAGCGAGUCUGAAUAGGGCGAAUGAGUAUGUAGUCGUAGACCCGAAACCAUGUGAUCUACCCAUGUCCAGGUUGAAGGUGCGGUAAAACGCACUGGAGGACCGAACCCACGUACGUUGAAAAGUGCGGGGAUGAGGUGUGGGUAGCGGAGAAAUUCCAAACGAACUUGGAGAUAGCUGGUUCUCUCCGAAAUAGCUUUAGGGCUAGCCUCGGAAUUGAGAAUGAUGGAGGUAGAGCACUGUUUGGACUAGGGGCCCAUCUCGGGUUACCGAAUUCAGAUAAACUCCGAAUGCCAUUCAUUUAUAUCCGGGAGUCAGACUGCGAGUGAUAAGAUCCGUAGUCGAAAGGGAAACAGCCCAGACCACCAGCUAAGGUCCCAAAAUAUAUGUUAAGUGGAAAAGGAUGUGGGGUUGCACAGACAACUAGGAUGUUGGCUUAGAAGCAGCCACCAUUUAAAGAGUGCGUAAUAGCUCACUAGUCGAGUGACCCUGCGCCGAAAAUGUACCGGGGCUAAACAUAUUACCGAAGCUGUGGACUACACCAUUAGGUGUAGUGGUAGGAGAGCGUUCUAAGGGCGUUGAAGGUCGAUCGUGAGGACGGCUGGAGCGCUUAGAAGUGAGAAUGCCGGUAUGAGUAGCGAAAGACAGGUGAGAAUCCUGUCCACCGUAUGACUAAGGUUUCCUGGGGAAGGCUCGUCCGCCCAGGGUUAGUCGGGACCUAAGCCGAGGCCGAUAGGCGUAGGCGAUGGACAACAGGUUGAUAUUCCUGUACCAGUUGUUUUUGUUUGAGCAAUGGAGGGACGCAGUAGGCUAAGGAAUGCAUGCGAUUGGAAGUGCAUGUCCAAGCAAUGAGUCUUGAG
This 1186-nucleotide ribosomal RNA is filed under the name Enterococcus faecalis. RNAcentral's name for it is "partial 23S ribosomal RNA". It matches the Rfam family "Bacterial large subunit ribosomal RNA", at positions 343 to 1530 of the family's 2925-position model. Lineage: Bacteria; Bacillati; Bacillota; Bacilli; Lactobacillales; Enterococcaceae. The record is from RNAcentral.